Molecule: ribosomal RNA, 1764 nt
Filed under: Lactiplantibacillus plantarum
Lineage: Bacteria; Bacillati; Bacillota; Bacilli; Lactobacillales; Lactobacillaceae
Description: bacterial LSU rRNA
Rfam family: Bacterial large subunit ribosomal RNA
Source: RNAcentral
UGAGGUUAAGUUAACAAGGGCGCAUGGUGAAUGCCUUGGCACUAGGAGCCGAUGAAGGACGGGACUAACACCGAUAUGCUUCGGGGAGCUGUACGUAAGCUAUGAUCCGGAGAUUUCCGAAUGGGGCAACCCAGCAGUUUUAAUCAACUGUUACCACUAGAUGAAUUCAUAGUCUAGUUGGAGGUAAACGCUGUGAACUGAAACAUCUCAUUAGCAGCAGGAAUAUAAAGAAAUUUCGAUUCCCUAAGUAGCGGCGAGCGAACGGGGAACAGCCCAAACCAAAGUGCUUGCACUUUGGGGUUGUAGGACUGAACAUUUGAGUUACCAAAGAACUUGAUAGUCGAAGGAUUUGGGAAAAUCCGCCAUAGAUGGUGAUAGCCCAGUAGAUUAAAUCAAAUUCUCUCAGUUCAGGAUCCUGAGUACGGCGGAACACGUGAAAUUCCGUCGGAAUCCGGGAGGACCAUCUCCCAAGGCUAAAUACUACCUAGUGACCGAUAGUGAACCAGUACCGUGAGGGAAAGGUGAAAAGCACCCCGGGAGGGGAGUGAAAUAGUUCCUGAAACCAUGUGCCUACAAUAAGUCAGAGCGCGUUAAUGCGUGAUGGCGUGCCUUUUGUAGAAUGAACCGGCGAGUUAUGAUCCCGUGCAAGGUUAAGACUAAAAAGUCGGAGCCGUAGCGAAAGCGAGUCUGAAAUGGGCGUUUUGAGUACGAGGUUAUAGACCCGAAACCAGGUGACCUAUCCAUGUCCAGGUUGAAGGUGCGGUAAAACGCACUGGAGGACCGAACCCGUGUAAGUUGAAAAUUGCUGGGAUGAGGUGUGGAUAGCGGUGAAAUUCCAAACGAACUUGGAGAUAGCUGGUUCUCUCCGAAAUAGCUUUAGGGCUAGCCUCGGAAUUAGGAUCAUGGAGGUAGAGCACUAUUUGGACUAGGGGCCCGUCUUGGGUUACUGAAUUCAGAUAAACUCCGAAUGCCAUUGAUUCAUAUCCGGGAGUCAGACGAUGAGUGAUAAGAUCCACCGUCGAAAGGGGAACAGCCCAGACCAUCAGUUAAGGUCCCUAAAUGUAUGCUAAGUGGAAAAGGAUGUGGAGUUGCAUAGACAACUAGGAUGUUGGCUCAGAAGCAGCCACCAUUUAAAGAGUGCGUAAUAGCUCACUAGUCGAGUGAUCCUGCGCCGAAAAUGUACCGGGGCUAAGCAUACUACCGAAACCAUGGAUGCGACCAUUAGGUCGCGUGAUAGGAGAGCGUUCUAAGGGCGGUGAAGCAAGAUCGUGAGGACUUGUGGAGCGCUUAGAAGUGAGAAUGCCGGUAUGAGUAGCGAAAGAUAGGUGAGAAUCCUAUCCACCGAAUGACUAAGGUUUCCUGGGGAAGGCUCGUCCUCCCAGGGUUAGUCGGGACCUAAGUCGAGGCCGAGAGGCGUAGACGAUGGAUAACAGGUUGAGAUUCCUGUACUAGUUAAGUGCGUUUGAGCAAUGGAGGGACGCAGGAGGCUAAGAUGUGCAUUCUGUUGGAUUAGAAUGUCCAAGCAGUAAGUCUUGUGAAGAGUCAAAUGCUUUUCACUUUAAGGACAAGCUGUGAUGGGGAGCGAAAUUUAGUAGCGAAGCGUCUGAUGUCACACUGCCGAGAAAAGCUUCUAGUGAGUACUUAACUACCCGUACCGCAAACCGACACAGGUAGUCGAGGAGAGAAUCCUAAGGUGAGCGAGUGAACUCUCGUUAAGGAACUCGGCAAAAUGACCCCGUAACUUCGGGAGAAGGGGUGCUGAUC